Nerophis ophidion (straightnose pipefish) is the source of this 1883-nucleotide RNA transcript. It is a transcript of the gene named B2 bradykinin receptor-like, with no coding region annotated. The record is from RefSeq and is a predicted model, not a curated record. The transcript is spliced from 3 exons. NCBI's taxonomy places the organism in Eukaryota, Metazoa, Chordata, Actinopteri, Syngnathiformes, Syngnathidae.
UGUUGACUGAGGCGGUUGAAAACAUAUCUCACAAAAUGUGUUGACGUCUGACUUCUACUGUUAGACAUGGAGACUUAAUAUUACAAGCAAUCGGGGAGGCGGAACUUAGAGGAGGACCAAACGUCUGAUGUAAGGCUUUUUGGCUGACAUCACUUCAGCUCUAAUUCCUUUAAAGAGAGCAAGUCAGACACAGGGUAGGCGGAGAACGGGGAAGCUGGGUGCACAGUGCAGGCGGACAACUAGACACUUCACAUCUGGACUUACGUACUCAGUAGGAAAUGGCUGCUUUAACCACGAGCCUACUGGUCCGCGUGACGACAUGCCCACGUUGAAAAGAUAGAACUACACGAUCAUACUUAACACACCUUCCAACGCCCAGAACACAUCACUUUGAGACCAACACAAGCCUAAAGAACCUCCAUUGUGAUCCAAAUCAAUAUGGAUCACUCAGCUGGGGUGCUAUAAAAGGAAUCAACGGAAGUAAGAAGGAAAAAAAAAAGCAUGGGUGGUUACCUGGCAAAGGUGCACGAUGGACUAGAACACCACACGGUCACAUACAAAUGGAUGGACAUUCUGUCAAGGACGAUACAUUACACGUCCAACACCCCCAGAGAUAAGGACAUUGAAAUCAUGGAGAAAUGUAUGCAAAAAGCCAGAACUUCGGCACCACCGACUGUCCCUUGGGAUUUGAUGUUCAUGAAUGUUGUUCACAUGUCUAAAAAUACACUGACAUUUUUAAAAAUGUACUAUGUAUGCACUGUUUAUUGAUGUUGAGAGACAUUGCAUACAAAAUUCCAUACCUGUUAACAUUACUGCAGAGUUAACAUCAUAACAAAUGGGUUGUACUUGUACUUGUAUAGCACUUUUCUACCUUCAAGGUACUCAAAGCGCUUUGACACUACUUCCACAUUCACCCAUUCACACACACAUUCACACACUGAUGGAGGGAGCUGCCAUGCAAGGCGCUAACCAGCACCCAUCAGGAGCAAGGGUGAAGUGUCUUGCUCAGGACACAACGGACGUGACGAGGUUGGUACUAGGAGGGGAUUGAACCAGGGACCCUGGGGUUGCGCACGGCCACUCUCCCACUGCGCUACGCCGCCCCUAACGAUAAUUGAAUUGAAAGCAAAACAAUCCAUAUUAAAGCACGGUCUCAUGGUCAUCCAGUCAUGAUGUUUUUUUAUCAAUUAUUUUUGAAGUGGUUUCAAUAUUAUUUCUUUCAUUCAUUAGAUCAUUUUGUUUAAUUAUAGGAUAACCCUAUCCUGACCCUUUGUAAACUUUUUAAAUGCUAUCCAUAUCAUGUUUACAUUCAUUAGUUGUAAACAUUUUUUUACUAUGUUAACCUUAAAUAUAUUUUAUGAUGUACUAAAAGCUGCUCAUAACCUUAAUUUAUCAUUUUUACAGUAGCUUUAUUAUUUUAUUUAUUUCAUUCAUUAUAUCAUUGUUUAAAUAAGACUAACCCCACCGCUUUUUUCUUAAAUGCUAACCAUAACAUUGUUUUUCCUUUUACAAGUUGUAAAUAUUUUUUUCUAACCAUCUUGUUUUUGAGCAUGCCUACUCUGCAAACUUUCUCAGUUGCUAAAAUGUUUUCCUUCAUAAGUUGGAAAUAUUUUUUUCUAACCUUUACAUUUUUAAUUUCUCAUCGCUGUAUACUUUUCUCAAACCUAACAGUUUUGUUUUUUUCCAACCCUGCAUAAACAAAUUCUCAAAAGUGCCAACUUUUUUUCUAAAAUCCAUUCACCUUACAUGGAAAGUGUGAACAUUUGGUUUUCACUUGGUAAAGAUGUCCGUUCUUGCAAACAUUUUCUCUUAAACAUGUAUAUUGUCUUUCUUUCAAAUAUAUUUUUACCAAAAUAAAUAAAAUAACUACUGCGUAAGUCUAA